Molecule: long non-coding RNA, 775 nt
Filed under: Phoenix dactylifera (date palm)
Lineage: Eukaryota; Viridiplantae; Streptophyta; Magnoliopsida; Arecales; Arecaceae
Description: long non-coding RNA (PDAC_LNC009673)
Source: RNAcentral
UGAGGGGUAAUCCGGAAGCAGAGGAGAUGAAGAUGAAUACGGUUGCUGGGAUUUCGGUUGAAGGUUCCGGUUGGAUGCGGGAUCACGAGAUGACGCUGUGUUUGUUUGGGAUUAAGUUGCAGCUGGAAGAUUCGGCGAAGAAGAUGAAGCUGAAUCUACAAUCGGCUGGGAGCAUGAACAGAGGAGUUUGUUCGGAUACGGGAGAAGAGAAUGAGGCUUGGUUUUAGAUGAAUGUCUUCAAUGCAUGGGAGCUGGGAAGGGAGUGAUCCGUGGGUGAAGAGGAGUUGAGAUCGGGAGGUUGGUCACGGUUGAAGUUGUUUCGGGAAGAAGAUUGGAGUUGUGAACGGCUUGAAGGGGAGAUAAGCCGUUGGGAAGAAUACGCGAAGAGAAGGAAUUGGGGUUUGAUACGUGAGGAGUGAAGGAGAGCUUUAGGAUUCGUGCAAAUAUGAUGGCAUGCUUUGAGAUCUGAGGAACAAAUAAUUGAAGGGAUUUUAUUGUUUUUGAGAUUAAAAUUGGAUCAUGUGGAAAAAGAGUUAAGUGACUGAAUCAGAGGGUUUUGAUUUGCGGGGUGCAUGUGGUUUAGGUCCAGGAAUAAUCCCUAAUGAACUUGACUCAACCUGCAUACAUUAGACUCAAUCAGUAAAUAAGUAAAACUUGAAUUACCUUUAAUAAUUUAUUAAAAUGCAAUCACGAAGGUAAUACAAUUUUCAGUUAAAUUUACAAAAUAUGUGAAUUAAAAUAAUGGUAAGUGCUAUAAAUAAGAUAUUAAUUUAUG